RNAcentral lists this non-coding RNA (21 nucleotides) under Arabidopsis thaliana (thale cress). Lineage: Eukaryota; Viridiplantae; Streptophyta; Magnoliopsida; Brassicales; Brassicaceae. The record is from RNAcentral.
UUUUGGACGCCUGAUAAAUCA